This is a non-coding RNA of Acanthosepion pharaonis, 111 nucleotides long. The record is from the annotation of a GenBank genome assembly. NCBI's taxonomy places the organism in Eukaryota, Metazoa, Mollusca, Cephalopoda, Sepiida, Sepiidae.
UUACGGCCAUAUCCUGAUGAAAUACCGUUUCUCGUACGAUCACCGAAGGUAAGCAACGUCGAGCUGGGUCACUACCGAGAUGGGUGACCGCUUUGGCAAAUCACUUGCUGA